Molecule: ribosomal RNA, 497 nt
Filed under: Anaplasma phagocytophilum
Lineage: Bacteria; Pseudomonadati; Pseudomonadota; Alphaproteobacteria; Rickettsiales; Anaplasmataceae
Description: bacterial SSU rRNA
Rfam family: Bacterial small subunit ribosomal RNA
Source: RNAcentral
ACAAAGAACAAUUAGUGGCAGACGGGUGAGUAAUGCAUAGGAAUCUACCUAGUAGUAUGGGAUAGCCACUAGAAAUGGUGGGUAAUACUGUAUAAUCCCUGCGGGGGAAAGAUUUAUCGCUAUUAGAUGAGCCUAUGUUAGAUUAGCUAGUUGGUAGGGUAAAGGCCUACCAAGGCGAUGAUCUAUAGCUGGUCUGAGAGGAUGAUCAGCCACACUGGAACUGAGAUACGGUCCAGACUCCUACGGGAGGCAGCAGUGGGGAAUAUUGGACAAUGGGCGCAAGCCUGAUCCAGCUAUGCCGCGUGAGUGAGGAAGGCCUUAGGGUUGUAAAACUCUUUCAGUAGGGAAGAUAAUGACGGUACCUACAGAAGAAGUCCCGGCAAACUCCGUGCCAGCAGCCGCGGUAAUACGGAGGGGGCAAGCGUUGUUCGGAAUUAUUGGGCGUAAAGGGCAUGUAGGCGGUUCGGUAAGUUAAAGGUGAAAUGCCAGGGCUUAAC